Molecule: transfer RNA, 91 nt
Filed under: Thermochaetoides thermophila DSM 1495
Lineage: Eukaryota; Fungi; Ascomycota; Sordariomycetes; Sordariales; Chaetomiaceae
Description: Chaetomium thermophilum var. thermophilum DSM 1495 tRNA
Rfam family: tRNA
About the family: Transfer RNA (tRNA) molecules are approximately 80 nucleotides in length. Their secondary structure includes four short double-helical elements and three loops (D, anti-codon, and T loops). Further hydrogen bonds mediate the characteristic L-shaped molecular structure. tRNAs have two regions of fundamental functional importance: the anti-codon, which is responsible for specific mRNA codon recognition, and the 3' end, to which the tRNAs corresponding amino acid is attached (by aminoacyl-tRNA synthetases). tRNAs cope with the degeneracy of the genetic code in two manners: having more than one tRNA (with a specific anti-codon) for a particular amino acid; and 'wobble' base-pairing, i.e. permitting non-standard base-pairing at the 3rd anti-codon position.
Source: Rfam by way of RNAcentral
UCGGGUAUGGUGUAGCGGUAACAUCGUUGACUCUCACUUCUCAGGAGUGAGGAGGCCUCAACAGCCCCGGGUUCGACUCCCGGUAUCCGAG